UACUUUUCACCCACCCCUGUAGUUAUGGAAUUCCAGAGAUGAGGAGCAAUGUGGCUAAAGGCUGUAGAGUCCAUGGUGGUCAAGCGGGCGUGGAGGAGCCUUAAUGAGGAAAAGCGAAGGGUGUGAGGGGGUGUAAAACUGAACUGUGCUUUAAAACUGUGUCACUAAUUUUUUAUGUGGAUUUGAUGUUCUCGAUAGACAGCCCUUGCUGAACACCAGGCCAAAAUGCUUAAGUGGGAAAAUAUGAUGGAUAAAUGCACUGGAGGGCAGAAAAAUGGCUGGUGGGAUGAUUUCAAAGACUAGUUUCGGACCACAUUGACUUUACAGGAUGAUCCUUGUAAGGAAUACUUUGAGCUCCUGACUGUGCAUCCAAUUCUGCAAGUGCCUCCGACCAAGGUUAUCACUGUUACCCUCACCACCCUUUUUACAGAUCCUCUGAUGCAUAUAGGACAAGGCAUUAGCGCGUUUCUCAGGGCCUUACUGAAAGAUCUGCCAAUUACACUACAGAUACCUGUGCUUAUUUUAUUUGUGCCCUUCAGCCUGGUGUUUUUGUAUGGUGUUGGUCGAGCAGUAGUUCUGCUGCAUUGGAGCCAGCAAGGCCGAUGGCAAGAUCCUCCACCUGCCGUUGCAGAUCAGGAUGAUGCUCCUCCCAAUAGACUGAACAGAGUGAAGGAGUGGACGUCUGUGAAAACCCUACGAAUGCGGAACGCCUUUACAGCGGGGAUGAGACAGACACUUGGAUCAUCAUACCACAGAGAAGUGCACACCAGCAACAUCUAAGUUUCAUUUUUUCAACCCUUUUUAAAAACCAAAACUAUUUGCUUUUUUUUAUUAUUAUUUUAUUAUUUACGAUCACCUGAUUUAUGCAUUUUCAGUUUUUCAGGGCCUCUUUUUUUAUUUAUUUAUUGUAGGUAGGUGAUUUAGUAACCAUAGAAGUAGAUGCAUCCAAAACAGAAGACUGUGUUAAAAAUAUUUUACUUUACUGUAAUUGUUGUCCUUUAA
Clarias gariepinus (North African catfish) is the source of this 1002-nucleotide long non-coding RNA. RefSeq lists it as uncharacterized. The transcript has 4 exons. The record is from RefSeq and is a predicted model, not a curated record. NCBI's taxonomy places the organism in Eukaryota, Metazoa, Chordata, Actinopteri, Siluriformes, Clariidae.